RNAcentral lists this long non-coding RNA (2089 nucleotides) under Triticum aestivum (bread wheat). RNAcentral's name for it is "long non-coding RNA (TAES_LNC000507)". Lineage: Eukaryota; Viridiplantae; Streptophyta; Magnoliopsida; Poales; Poaceae. The record is from RNAcentral.
UUCAAAUCUUGAGAUUUGUACCUGUAGGCAAUGAUGUAAAGCAAUAAUGUUCAUUCUAAAGCAUACAAUUUAAGCAAAUUGUAAGCAUAUCAAUGUGAUGACAAUAGGAAUUCGGUGUUACAAAAUGAAAGGAACUAUAUAGGAAUAAGUAAUCGUAAUUCAUAAGAUCUAUUUCAUCCUCAUAUCUCUUCUCAUGGCAUGAUAAACAACCUGGACCUGAAUAACAACCAAAGUAACCUUGUACACGUGGAAGUAAAAUUUCUACAAAUGGGAAUCUAGGUUGUUAAGUAGAAUAUAUUUGAGCAUUACAAAACAGGAUGCUACCUCCUCAUUCGAAACCACAAGAAUCCUCCCCAAAAACAUUCCCCCUAGUAGAUAUUUUCCGACUUGCUUCGCGAUGUACAAACCAAAUUGAGAUGUUAUCUUAAUUAAAACUAACGUUCAUUUAUUUGUAUGGCAAACGAAAGAUAUACACAUAACCAAAUACUACAAUAAACAGCUAGCUAUGCUCAAAAGCUUGUGACCGUAAAUAUAUAUGGAUUAUUUAUCCAAAAGUCCGUGGUGUUAAGAAAGAUGUUAUAUUGCGCAAAGAUAGUUCCCACAUCAAAUCUAUGGCGCAUAUGUUACCACAUAUUGUUGGGGUACACAUUUUAUAUAUUGGAAACAAACCCUAGAAAAAAGAAACUCCUUUAUCAUCACUCCAUGAAAUAAAAAAACACAUGACGAGGAGAAUUACCAUCGUAAUAUUAAACCUGAACACAAACGGUCUUAGUUACAUAGAAGUCAGCUAGAAUUAGAAACAUUGGAGCUAAUUACUUAACCAAUUAAAUUUUCCUUGAGACACUAAUCAAACCAUAAAACCCUCAAUACAAGUCCACUAAUUACUUAAAUUAGCAUAAGGGUUUAAAAAAAUCGCACCUAUUGACUCCGGCACACGUUGGAAACGCGGAAAGAUCAACAUGCUUGUUGGGCAGAUCGAUCUUGCCGCAGUUGGUCCACUAAGAAAACCAUAAUGCUGCACUUGGUGUAAACUGCAGGGGGGAAAGAUAUUUCAGCUAGAACCAAUAUUUUUGACCUGAUGCACUGAUAAGAGAACACACAGGAAGCCGGUUAAGAAAAACUAAACCACAUGCGUUUUAUACAAACCGUACACACACUAUUGAUACAGAGCCGACCCAUCCACCUUGAAUCUUUCUGAACUUACAAUCCAGUUAAAUAUAUAAAACUGAGUAUGGUACUAAAUAUCCAACUAUCUGGAUUUCUCUACAAACAAUCUCAACUUGGAACCAGUAUAGUAUGAAAACUUCCCUGGUAGGAUUGAGGAAACAGAGAUACCUUGAUCACAUGGAUUUUGCUCUGCCACGUUUGCUGGAAAUCCCUAAUUACCGGCUAGAAAAUUCUCACCCACUCCAAGCCGCACAAACUGUUCUUCUCACCCUCAGUCCUUCUUCAGAUGCACACAUUCGUCAUUUGGUUAAAUGAUGGAAAAAAUUGCAUGAACAAUCAAUGUAUAUACCUGAAUUAAACAGUAGCUACAAUGGUCACGCACUUCAUCUUCUAUUCUAUUCGAGUGGAUACCAGAUCAAGCUAGUUGAUGGUGCUCUGAAAGUCAAUGUACAUCUGAUACACCACGUUGAUAAUUUUUUGCUGUUUCAUGGGCCACACUAUUGCUAUCUCAUGCAAAUCUCCCGCAGAUUUCCUCUGAACCGACCUAAAUCUGAUACACCACGCAGCCUAACAAAGCAAGAAAAUGCACCAAACUGAAUCAUGUUUUGCAUAAGCAGAUUAUAAGAUAAUUCUGAAGGGUUCUGUGUAAUAAACAAUUUAAGGCAGCACAUGCAUGUCGGAGGACCAUAUACUGACGAAUACAAUACAUAACACUGUACUCUGAAAGUCAAUGUCGUUGUACUCACUUAUUUCCUCUUACAACAAAUACAUAGUGACGAAUUAAUGCAAGCGAUCUUUACUUUAAUCCAUAUGUUGUGUUAUUAACUACAUGAACAUGAGAAACUGAGACUCAAAUAUUUCGUUUGUGCCAUUGCAAACCUAGUUAGGUCUCUUCUCUCCAAUAAUCAAAAGAGAAUACAUG